ACUCCUACGGGAGGCAGCAGUGGGGAAUUUUGGACAAUGGGCGAAAGCCUGAUCCAGCAAUGCCGCGUGAGUGAAGAAGGCCUUCGGGUUGUAAAGCUCUUUCAGUCGAGAAGAAAAGAUUGUGACUAAUAAUCAUGAUUUAUGACGGUAUCGGCAGAAGAAGCACCGGCUAACUACGUGCCAGCAGCCGCGGUAAU
RNAcentral lists this ribosomal RNA (197 nucleotides) under uncultured beta proteobacterium. RNAcentral's name for it is "partial 16S ribosomal RNA". It matches the Rfam family "Bacterial small subunit ribosomal RNA", at positions 335 to 524 of the family's 1533-position model. Lineage: Bacteria; Pseudomonadati; Pseudomonadota; Betaproteobacteria. The record is from RNAcentral.